RNAcentral lists this ribosomal RNA (1707 nucleotides) under Meloidogyne enterolobii. Its description in RNAcentral is "SSU rRNA". It matches the Rfam family "Eukaryotic small subunit ribosomal RNA". Lineage: Eukaryota; Metazoa; Nematoda; Chromadorea; Rhabditida; Meloidogynidae. The record is from RNAcentral.
GGCGAUCGAAAAGAUUAAGCCAUGCAUGUAUAAGUUUAAUCGUUUUAACGAGAAACCGCGAACGGCUCAUUACAAUGGCCAUGAUUUACUUGAUCUUGAUUAUCUAAAUGGAUAACUGUGGAAAAGCUAGAGCUAAUACAUGCACCAAAGCUUUGUCCUCUCGGAAAAGCGCAUUUAUUAGAACAAAACCACGCGGCUUCGGCUGCUUCUUGUUGACUCAGAAUAACUAAGCUGACCGCAUGGCCUUGUGCCGGCGGCGUGUCUUUCAAGCGUCCACAUUAUCAACUUGACGGGAGCAUAAUCGACUCCCGUGGUGGUGACGGAUAACGGAGGAUCAGGGUUCGACUCCGGAGAAGGGGCCUGAGAAAUGGCCACUACGUCUAAGGAUGGCAGCAGGCGCGCAAAUUACCCACCCUCGGCUCGAGGAGGUAGUGACGAGAAAUAACGAGAUCGUUCUCUUUGAGGCCGGUCAUCGGAAUGGGUACAAUUUAAACCCUUUAACGAGUAUCAAGCAGAGGGCAAGUCUGGUGCCAGCAGCCGCGGUAAUUCCAGCUCUGCUAAUACAUAGAAUUAUUGCUGCGGUUAAAAAGCUCGUAGUUGGAUUCGUAUCGGUACCUUGGAACCCUUCGGGUGUUUCUGGGUGUUAUCGAUUUAUCGUAAUGUUCGGUUUUGAGUCCUUAACAGGAUUUUUAACAGUCAUUGCAAGUUUACUUUGAACAAAUCAGAGUGCUUCAAACAGGCGUUUUCGCUUGAAUGAUCGUGCAUGGAAUAAUAGAAAACGAUUUCGGUUCAGUUUUAUUGGUUUUACGGACUGAGAUAAUGGUUAACAGAGACAAACGGGGGCAUUUGUAUGGCCCCGUGAGAGGUGAAAUUCUUGGACCGUGGCCGGACAAACUACAGCGAAAGCAUUUGCCAAGAAUGUCUUCAUUAAUCAAGAACGAAAGUCAGAGGUUCGAAGGCGAUCAGAUACCGCCCUAGUUCUGACCGUAAACGAUGCCAACUAGCGAUCCGCUGAUGGAAAUUAUAUUGCCUUGGUGGGGAGCUUCCCGGAAACGAAAGUCUUCCGGUUCCGGGGGAAGUAUGGUUGCAAAGCUGAAACUUAAAGGAAUUGACGGAAGGGCACCACCAGGAGUGGAGCCUGCGGCUUAAUUUGACUCAACACGGGGAAACUCACCCGGCCCGGACACUGUGAGGAUUGACAGAUUGAUAGCUUUUUCAUGAUUCAGUGGAUGGUGGUGCAUGGCCGUUCUUAGUUCGUGGAGUGAUUUGUCUGGUUUAUUCCGAUAACGAGCGAGACUCUAACCUACUAAAUAGUUGGUACAUACUCUUUGUGUAUACAGCUUCUUAGAGGGAUUUGCGGCGUUCAGCCGAAAGAAAUUGAGCAAUAACAGGUCUGUGAUGCCCUUAGAUGUCCGGGGCUGCACGCGCGCUACACUGGCAAAAUCAACGUGCUUGUCCUACCCUGAAAGGGGCGGGUAAACCAUUGAAAAUUUGCCGUGAUUGGGAUCGGAAAUUGCAAUUAUUUUCCGUGAACGAGGAAUUCCAAGUAAGUGCGAGUCAUCAGCUCGCGUUGAUUACGUCCCUGCCCUUUGUACACACCGCCCGUCGCUGCCCGGGACUGAGCCAUUUCGAGAAAUUUGGGGACCGUUGAUUUAAUUUAUCUAAAUUAUUUUGAUGGAAACCAAUUUAAUCGCAGUGGCUUGAACC